Molecule: non-coding RNA, 67 nt
Organism: Podarcis lilfordi (Lilford's wall lizard)
Lineage: Eukaryota; Metazoa; Chordata; Lepidosauria; Squamata; Lacertidae
Source: the annotation of a GenBank genome assembly
GGAGGCUCAGUGGUACAGCAUCUGCUUUGCAUGCAGAGGGUUUCGGGUUUAAUCCACAACAUUUCCA